UGCAUUUCGUGUGGCACACCUGCAUUUCGUGUGGCACAGGGUGCUGUGCUGGAACAGCUGGGGUGAUGCUUUCCCUCGGAACUGCUGGCCUGGAGCAGUAACAAUUCCAGGUGAGAGGUGGAACAGCAUCAGUGCCCAGCCCUGGAGGUGCCCAGGGAAGGGCUGGAGGUGGCACUCACAGCUCUGGGCUGGGGACAAGGGGAGGGCCUGGCACAGCUUGGGGGGGUCUUUUCCAAUCUCUGGGAUUCUGGGAGGGGUUCUCUGUGCACCACACUGCUCCUGGUCAGAACAGCAAUUAAUCAUGGGGUAAUUGAGUCAUCAAGGAAACACGUGUGGACAAAUGGAAAAAACUCUGGCUGAGGGAGUGUAAUUUUUUUUCCCCUUGUCUUUUUGAGUAAAGGUUGUGGAAAUCAAGGGAAGGCUUAGAUGGCAGGCACUUAACCACUAAAGAUUUCUGCAAGAGUCAUUUCCACAAAUGUCUUACAGCUCUUCUAUAGAUCUGGAGCCUGUGCUUUUAAUGGACUGACAAAUGUACACUAAGCCCAGCUGACUGUUGCUCCAUUGCUUGGCUAUCCAGAUAAGAGGAAUGCUUUCCUUUGAUUGAGAUCUCAAAUCAAUUGUUCCUUUAGCCAGUGGCUGGUGGUUAUUAUCCAAGGAGAAGAUAAAGUUCCGAUGCUUUGUGUUUCAGUGAUCACCAAGGAAACUGAAAUCUGCUGGUGGCUGCCCAAGGCCGAGCCAGAGGCUCCACCUGGGACACUGCUCCUCGCCUGGGGCAGGGACAGGCGGCUCAGGUGGUCCCAGCUGGUUCCUCCCUUGGUCUGGAGCCCCCUCUGUGAUCCCUGAGUCAAAAGGUGACUUCCAGCCCUCCAGCCUGGGACUGAAGGAGGCAGGGCAGGAAUUCCAAGGUCCUUUCCUGGCAAGUGACCUGUCCAGGUGCCGAGGUGUCCAGCAAAGGGGACCCAGCUGGGUCUGGCUGCUGCCAGGGGGGCUCAGGGAAGGAAAGCAAA
RNAcentral lists this long non-coding RNA (1007 nucleotides) under Parus major (Great Tit). RNAcentral's name for it is "lncRNA (ENSPMJG00000006229.1)". Lineage: Eukaryota; Metazoa; Chordata; Aves; Passeriformes; Paridae. The record is from RNAcentral.